UUGGUGCAGACUGUAACAAGCAAUCAAUAGCAAUGAUGAUAGGCUUCAUCUUAUCGAAGUCUUUAGAGAGGCAAUGUUGUGAAUAAUGGCUCAUUUUCUCUACUGCCUCGAUAGAUGGCCCCAGUCCAUGCAGCUCUGUCUCCUUCCGUCCUACAGCUCAUUCUAAUCUUUUCCUCUUAUUGAUUCCUCCCAUGAGGCUGUGGAGCCUAUCAAGCAGCGUCAGGGUCGAUAUGACGGCCACCAAGAAGACAGAGGACACUGAAAAUCUGACCAGCUAUACGACAGAUAAUUCAUGCAGCUAUCACACGGCGGUAUUGUUGUUUCAAACCGCGAGCCCUUUUCUACAGUGUGUCUUUGUUUGCAUGGAGGGCAGGAUAAAAAUGAGUCAUCCUUUCUUAGUUUACAGAUAUCAACAUUUUCCACAUGAAUUCUACAUUUUAUGGGAAUAAUCUACAAGUAACUGGAUCCCACCAUAACUCACCCACACAAACCAUUCCAGGACUUACUGGAUGUUGGUACUCAAAG
Austrofundulus limnaeus is the source of this 525-nucleotide long non-coding RNA. RefSeq lists it as uncharacterized. The record is from RefSeq and is a predicted model, not a curated record. The transcript has 3 exons. Lineage: Eukaryota; Metazoa; Chordata; Actinopteri; Cyprinodontiformes; Rivulidae.